GGAUUAGAUACCCUGGUAGUCCCAGCCGUAAACGAUGCAUACUUGAUGUCGACGGAAUCAACCCCGUCGGUGUCGUAGCUAACGCGAUAAGUAUGCCGCCUGGGGAGUACACUCGCAAGGGUGAAACUCAAAAGAAUUGACGGGGGCCCGCACAAGCAGUGGAGCAUGUGGUUUAAUUCGAUGCAACGCGAAGAACCUUACCUGGACUUGACAUGUAGUGGACAGGUGCAGAAAUGCACUUUUCUUCGGACCGCUAUACAGGUGCUGCAUGGCUGUCGUCAGCUCGUGCUG
This 291-nucleotide ribosomal RNA is filed under the name uncultured bacterium. RNAcentral's name for it is "partial 16S ribosomal RNA". It matches the Rfam family "Bacterial small subunit ribosomal RNA", at positions 775 to 1067 of the family's 1533-position model. The record is from RNAcentral.